GCCUGGGUGGCUUCGUGGGUUAAGCAUCCGACUUGGGCUCAGGUCAUGAUCUCACAGUUCGUGGGUUCAAGCCCCACACCAGGCU
This 85-nucleotide transfer RNA is filed under the name Felis catus (domestic cat). It matches the Rfam family "tRNA". From Rfam's summary of the family: Transfer RNA (tRNA) molecules are approximately 80 nucleotides in length. Their secondary structure includes four short double-helical elements and three loops (D, anti-codon, and T loops). Lineage: Eukaryota; Metazoa; Chordata; Mammalia; Carnivora; Felidae. The record is from Rfam by way of RNAcentral.